Molecule: non-coding RNA, 140 nt
Filed under: Actinomycetota bacterium
Lineage: Bacteria; Bacillati; Actinomycetota
Description: Actinobacteria bacterium Glycine sequence
Rfam family: Glycine riboswitch aptamer
About the family: This family represents the bacterial glycine riboswitch. Glycine riboswitches usually consist of two metabolite-binding aptamers domains with similar structures in tandem. The aptamers cooperatively bind glycine to regulate the expression of downstream genes.
Source: RNAcentral
CGAUCCCUUGCGGGAGAGGCUCCGGGGUGUUGCAGCGCUCACCGGCCGAUGCCGGAGGGUGGGGUUGCGGCGCCUCGGGGACGCCGAAGGAGCAAGUGCCUCCCCGCCAAACUCUCAGGCCGAAAAACCGCGAGGGGAAG